AAAAAACGGCCUUUCACAUUGAUGCAUUGCUAUAUAGAGUUUGCAAAGUAUCCAAAGUGGCAGACAAGAGAACUUGAAACUUCUCUUAAGAAACAAAAGAAAACCAUUGAUGAAAGUCCAGGCAGAGCCACCAAUGAUCCGUCAGAUGCAUCCUCGGUAUGCACUGAUGCAACCUCGAUACACACUGAUGCUCUUGAACAUGAGAAAAGACCUGAUGGUGUUAAGAAGGACAAGAGAGGUAAAGCUGAUGAGAAUGCUUGCAAGCUGUCAUUAGAAACUGUGUGGGCAGCAAAGCAAGAGAAGGAUGAGAUCAAAGAAGCGGCAAGAAAUGCUCGCUAUGCACAGCAAUUUGAAUUGCGAAAAGAGGAGAUUGCACUCAGAAAGAAGGAGGAUGCACGAAACGAGAGGGAGGAUGCACGGAGACAGUUUGAAUUAGAUGAGAGGGUCAUGCUGAUCGACACUAGUGGUAUGACUGAUGUGCAAAAGCAGUUCUACCAAGCUAAGCAGAAUGAGAUCCUUGCUCGAGGCCUAGAGUAA
RNAcentral lists this ribosomal RNA (537 nucleotides) under Triticum aestivum (bread wheat). Its description in RNAcentral is "partial small subunit ribosomal RNA". Lineage: Eukaryota; Viridiplantae; Streptophyta; Magnoliopsida; Poales; Poaceae. The record is from RNAcentral.